GGGUGUUUGGUCUAGUGGUAUGAUUUUUGCUUUGGGUGCAAGAGGUCGUGAGCUCGAUUCUCACAACACCCC
Transfer RNA from Ipomoea nil (Japanese morning glory), 72 nucleotides. It matches the Rfam family "tRNA". From Rfam's summary of the family: Transfer RNA (tRNA) molecules are approximately 80 nucleotides in length. Their secondary structure includes four short double-helical elements and three loops (D, anti-codon, and T loops). The record is from Rfam. Lineage: Eukaryota; Viridiplantae; Streptophyta; Magnoliopsida; Solanales; Convolvulaceae.